RNAcentral lists this ribosomal RNA (464 nucleotides) under uncultured bacterium. Its description in RNAcentral is "partial 16S ribosomal RNA". It matches the Rfam family "Bacterial small subunit ribosomal RNA", at positions 28 to 507 of the family's 1533-position model. The record is from RNAcentral.
GACGAACGCUGGCGGCGUGCUUAACACAUGCAAGUCGAACGGAAAGGCCCUGCUUGCAGGGUACUCGAGUGGCGAACGGGUGAGUAACACGUGGGUGAUCUGCCCUGCACUUCGGGAUAAGCCUGGGAAACUGGGUCUAAUACCGGAUAUGACCUUCCAUGUAGUGUGGGGGGUGGAAAGAUUUAUCGGUGUGGGAUGAGCCCGCGGCCUAUCAGCUUGUUGGUGGGGUAAUGGCCUACCAAGGCGUCGACGGGUAGCCGGCCUGAGAGGGUGGACGGCCCCAUUGGGACUGAGAUACGGCCCAGACUCCUACGGGAGGCAGCAGUGGGGAAUAUUGCACAAUGGGCGGAAGCCUUAUGCAGCGCCGCCGCGUGGGGAUGACGGCCUUCGGGUUGUAAACCUCUUUCGACAGGGACGAAGCUUCGGUGACGGUACCUGUAUAAGAAGCACCGGCUAACUACGUG